Molecule: long non-coding RNA, 300 nt
Filed under: Notechis scutatus (mainland tiger snake)
Lineage: Eukaryota; Metazoa; Chordata; Lepidosauria; Squamata; Elapidae
Description: lncRNA (ENSNSUG00000010037.1)
Source: RNAcentral
CGGAAGUCCAAACUUCACAAAGGAGCACACUCAGAGAUAAUAAGCAACGGCCUCGUUCAGAUACAUUUACUUCUCCAUUAUAUCCAAAUUAUCCUGCAUUCCAUCAUUAUCCGCUGCCAUUUUAUGGCUCCCACCAAGGUGAUAUUCGAUUUGCUCAACAGAACCAGUCAUCCCUGGGUCAUUCUGCACCUACAGUUUCCUAUGGUGGGAUUCAAAUCAGUGGCAGCAGCAUCACAGGAGUUCAAAUUGGAGGUGGAAACCACAUGCAUGUUGAACAAGCUUCUCGGACAAAACAUGGCA